This 199-nucleotide long non-coding RNA is filed under the name Gossypium raimondii (Peruvian cotton). Its description in RNAcentral is "long non-coding RNA (GRAI_LNC009076)". The record is from RNAcentral. Lineage: Eukaryota; Viridiplantae; Streptophyta; Magnoliopsida; Malvales; Malvaceae.
AAUUAUUGCCCGGGGCCCAAAAUCCUAAAGCCCAAUGACCCAAUACACCAAAACCUAACCCACUAGCCCAAAAUAUUGAACAGGAGCAGAAAAUUAGAACCCUAGCAGCAGUUUUUUUCCCUUCCUCAGCGCCGCAGAUCGCGCAGCUCGUCCACACGUCUCUCGCCCAUCCGCACGUCACACGCUGCGCACGUUCUCU